GUGCUCCUGUCUGGCCUGGCUUCCUAGUGUGAUCCGUGAGCUGCUCCAUCCCUGAGCUCCUGCCUGGCGGAUGUUGGGCUGUGUCUAACCCUGGUUGUUCUCAUAGCACCUGGCUUGACUGUGGACCUGUCUUGUCACCGUGAUCUUGCCUGCUGCUCUGGGCUCUUGAUGCCACCUGGCUACUACCUGUGGGCUGCCUGCUGCCUUGCUCAGUGAGAGCCUGGAAAGCUGGUUUUGCCCUCUGGGAUCCCUGGGCACUAGUGCCAGCCUGGGACAUGGCUUCCCGUUCCCUCUGCAUCCCCCAGCUGGAACUGCUCCCCACACAGAUGCCUAGAAGGGGCAGUGCUCGUUCCCUUGGGUUUUGUAUGGAGGCUGCAAACCAUGGAUUUUACUCCGAACAUGCACUAGGAGAAUAUGGAAAUGGCUUUGAGCUCAGACCAUCAGUAAAGAGUCUCCUGAUCAGAGAUGUGUUUAUGAAGAGGAGAGCUGGGUUUCAGACCAGUUGGGAAGCUUGGCCUUGAAGGCUUCCCCUGCAUGAAUUCUAUUGUAAAUAGUCAUUUGGAUGCUACUCAAACAUUCAUUGCUGUGACCUAGAAAGAAAAGUUUGUUUCCUGUUUCCACUUUAAGGGGCAGCUAUGUUGCUUGACAGAUGUUAAAACAAAACAAAAAGGAAUAUUGGGAUUUGGCAUUGUGGGAUCAUCUAAACAGGAAUGCUUCUGAAGUAAAUAGAGGCAAAAGC
This is a long non-coding RNA of Nothoprocta perdicaria, 739 nucleotides long. RefSeq lists it as uncharacterized. The record is from RefSeq and is a predicted model, not a curated record. NCBI's taxonomy places the organism in Eukaryota, Metazoa, Chordata, Aves, Tinamiformes, Tinamidae. The transcript has 3 exons.